CAUUCGAGGUAUAGUAAGGUCUUGUGGGCCUGGAGAAUGUUAUUAGAGACCGGUCCUAAGGGGGCGUCAAAGCUUACCAAGGGAUAUCAAACUCCGAAUGCCGCGUAGAUGAUGUAUGGGAGUCAGACUGCACGAGAUAAGUUGGGCAGUCAAAAGGGAAAGAGCCCAGACCUACAGCUAAGGUCCCAAAGUGUGUGUUAAGUGGAAAAGGAUGUGGGAUUUCAAAGACAACUAGGAUGUUGGCUCAGAAGCAGCCACACAUUCAAAGAGUGCGUAAUAGCUCACUAGUCGAGAGGUCCUGCGCCGAAAAUGUCCGGGGCUGAAACACAACACCGAAGCUUAGGAAUGUCGUAAGACAUUGGUAGAGGAGCAUUCUCAGGACGGAGAAGCGGUACCGGUAAGGAGCCGUGGAGUGCUGAGAAGAGAGAAUGCCGGAAUGAGUAGCGAGAUGGAGGUGGGAAUCCUCCAGGCCGAAUAUCCAAGGUUUCCAGAGUAAAGCUGAUCUGCUCUGGGUAAGUCGGGGCCUAAGGCGAGGCUGAGAGGCGUAGUCGAUGGACAACAGGUUGAAAUUCCUGUACCGUGUAUCAUCAGAACUGUGGGGACACAGAAGGACAGCACAUCCCGGGAAUGGGAAUACCGGGGCAAGCGUGGUAGGAGUACGGCUGGCAAAACCGCCGUGCAAUCCGAAUACGUGACGCGGAGCGAACAAAAGUAGCGAAGUGUGUGAUUCCGGCUGUCAAGAAAAGCCGCUAUUGUGUGAUACAUGCCCGUACCGUAAACCGACACAGGUAGAUGAGGAGAGAAUCCUAAGGCCGGCGGGAGAAGCAUUGUUAAGGAACUCGGCAAAAUGACCCCGUAACUUCGGGAGAAGGGGUGCCGCAGAGAUGUGGCCGCAGAGAAUAGGCUCAAGCAACUGUUUAGCAAAAACACAGGUCUAUGCAAAACCGUAAGGUGAGGUAUAUGGGCUGACGCCUGCCCGGUGCUGGAAGGUUAAGAGGAGAGGUCAGCGGAAACGCGAAGCUUUGAAUUUAAGCCCCAGUAAACGGCGGCCGUAACUAUAACGGUCCUAAGGUAGCGAAAUUCCUUGUCGGGUAAGUUCCGACCCGCACGAAAGGCGUAAUGAUUUGAGCGCC
This 1133-nucleotide ribosomal RNA is filed under the name metagenome. RNAcentral's name for it is "bacterial LSU rRNA". It matches the Rfam family "Bacterial large subunit ribosomal RNA", at positions 858 to 2017 of the family's 2925-position model. The record is from RNAcentral.